CACUUCACUUGAGGUUCCAUCACUCUCGACCCAGCUGAUAGAGCUGUGAGGUAGCUUCGACCAGCUCUCCGUCUACUCGUUCAGCUCUCUUAUACCUGCAUUUACUCUUCCCUUCAGUACUUAGUCAUUCAGCCAACCAUCCCCACAGACCAAGAACUUUUGGGAAGUCUUCAGCUACAUUUCGGAAUCCAAUGAAUCGACCCAGUUCAUAUGGAUCCCGAUCAUGAUAAGUCCGGCCAAGGCCAUGGACAUCACCCCUGAACCAGCCAAGGCCAUGGUUCAGUGCUAUCAAGUCUUAAGCGUAUGCUCCCCUGGAGCCAAGUCCUAUCAUGGACUAAUAAUGCCCAUCAGAAAGCUUUGAAACUCCAUGGUCUUUUAUCUACUCCAAAAUUCUUGGCUAAGUUCCCAAAGAUUUUCUGUGUGAUCUUUGGCUUAUGCUCCAAAUCAUAAUCGAUGAAUCAAAUUCACUCGACCACAUAUCUCAAUGCUAAAAUUGUUGUAUAUGAUUAACUCAACCUCAACCUCCUGGCGGAAACAUCCCACUGUACCAAGUCCAUAAACUGAAUCUUCAAUCGGUCCCAUAUCUUGUGCUGAGAGUGCUGAAGCAGCUGGCCAGCUGUCCCCACUCAGCUUUGCUUUGUCCUGAGUGAAACUGUAAGACCCGAUCCCGGCCGACUAGGCAGCGGUCGAUGACUCACGUCGCUCGGUCCAUACACUGACCGAACCUCUCAAAAUUUUGCCCUUUAUCUAUAUUAUCGCCCAUAGGCGAAGGCUAACUUAGACCUUAGCUUAAGACUACCUUAGUCAUUCCCUAGCUUAGAUCAUUUCAACUCAUACGCAGCGGAUAUUCUCUACUUAACCAUUGGUCUACAGCCAAUAUAAUACUUGCCUGGUCGAAUCACUUCGGCUAAUGGUUAGUAUACUCAACUACCAGCUAGCUUCAAGGUCAAUCCCGAACCCAAAUCAAGGCACACAAAUCUGAGGUUCCAUUCCCCUAACCAUUCUAUCUACAUCUAUGCAACAUUGCUAGAUCAUACCUUUGCCACAUCCACGGAGCUUGUUAGCUCAUUGUCCCAGAUGACUCAGCUGUUUAGCUAGCUCAUCCAGCUAGCUGAGCUGAACCACUUCACUUGAGGUUCCCUCACUCUCGACCCAGAUGAUAGAGCUGUGAGGUAGCUUCGACCAGCUCUCCGUCUACUCGUUCAGCUCUCUUAUACCUGCAUUUACUCUUCCCUUCAGUACUUAGUCAUUCAGCCAACCAUCCCCACAGACCAAGUACUUUUGGGAAGUCUUCAGCUACAUUUCGGAAUCCAAUGAAUCGACCCAGUUCAUAUGGAUCCCGAU
This 1344-nucleotide long non-coding RNA is filed under the name Brassica napus (rape). Its description in RNAcentral is "long non-coding RNA (BNAP_LNC007877)". The record is from RNAcentral. Lineage: Eukaryota; Viridiplantae; Streptophyta; Magnoliopsida; Brassicales; Brassicaceae.